Molecule: unclassified non-coding RNA, 251 nt
Filed under: Pseudorobillarda sojae
Lineage: Eukaryota; Fungi; Ascomycota; Dothideomycetes; Pleosporales
Description: partial internal transcribed spacer region
Rfam family: Eukaryotic small subunit ribosomal RNA (bases 1-46)
Source: RNAcentral
AAGUCGUAACAAGGUUUCCGUAGGUGAACCUGCGGAAGGAUCAUUACAAGAAGUCUCGGGGUACCCCCCCGAAACCUUCCACCCUAUGUUUAUUGACUACUAUUGUUGUUGCCUCGGCGGGGGGUUAAAGCCCUUGUGGCCCUCCCUCCGCCGGCCGGCAGCCUCUACAAACCUUUGAUAUAAACUAGUGUUGUCUGAGCUUUUGAUAGCAAAAUAAAUCAAAACUUUCAACAACGGAUCUCUUGGUUCUG